RNAcentral lists this small RNA (104 nucleotides) under Klebsiella pneumoniae. Its description in RNAcentral is "partial RtT sRNA". It matches the Rfam family "RtT RNA", at positions 49 to 130 of the family's 130-position model. From Rfam's summary of the family: This family represents a bacterial cis-regulatory element known as RtT RNA. Lineage: Bacteria; Pseudomonadati; Pseudomonadota; Gammaproteobacteria; Enterobacterales; Enterobacteriaceae. The record is from RNAcentral.
ACCAAUUUCAGCAUUUAACUCAGAUGCUGAACGUGAAGGAUAACGUUGCGUCAGCAACGGCCCGAAGGGCGAGGCGAAGUCGAGUCAUCCUGCACGACCCACCA